CAACAGGGAUUGCCUCAGUAACUGCGAGUGAAGCGGCAAAAGCUCAAAUUUGAAAUCUGACGUCAUUUGGCGUCCGAGUUGUAAUUUGGAGGGGCAACUUCGAGGCAGACGUGGUCCCAAGUUCCUUGGAACAGGACGUCACAGAGGGUGAGAAUCCCGUACGUGGACCGCUGUUUGGCCUCAUGUGAAGUGCCUCCGACGAGUCGAGUUGUUUGGGAAUGCAGCUCAAAAUUGGUGGUAAAUUUCAUCUAAAGCUAAAUAUUGGCGAGAGACCGAUAGCGCACAAGUAGAGUGAUCGAAAGAUGAAAAGCACUUUGAAAAGAGAGUUAAAAAGUACGUGAAAUUGUUGAAAGGGAAGCGCUUGGGACCAGACUCGACCUUGGAUUGUGCAACUGGUGCUUCUGCACGAGAAAAUGUACCUUCCGGUCGGGCCAGCAUCAGUUCUGACGGUGGGAUAAAAGUUGUUGGAAAUGUGCCUGUGUUCAAAAUUGCACAGGGUUAUAGUCCACUUCACAAUGCCGUCAGUCGGGACUGAGGACCGCGCCUUUGGCAAGGAUGCUGGCGUAAUGGUUCCAAGCGACCCGUCUUGAAACACGGACCAAGGAGUCUAACAUCUAUGCGAGUGUUCGGGUGGAAAACCCUUGCGCGUAAUGAAAGUGAACGGAGGUGGGAACCCUUUGGGGUGCACCAUCGACCGAUCCAGAUGUCUUCGGAUGGAUUUGAGUAUGAGCAUGGCUGUUGGGACCCGAAAGAUGGUGAACUAUGCCUGAAUAGGGUGAAGCCAGGGGAAACUCUGGUGGAGGCUCGCAGCGGUUCUGACGUGCAAAUCGAUCGUCAAAUUUGGGUAUAGGGGCGAAAGACUAAUCGAACCAUCUAGUAGCUGGUUCCUGCCGAAGUUUCCCUCAGG
RNAcentral lists this ribosomal RNA (907 nucleotides) under Pyronemataceae sp. Trappe 24135. RNAcentral describes it as "eukaryotic LSU rRNA". It matches the Rfam family "Eukaryotic large subunit ribosomal RNA", at positions 66 to 977 of the family's 3401-position model. Lineage: Eukaryota; Fungi; Ascomycota; Pezizomycetes; Pezizales; Pyronemataceae. The record is from RNAcentral.